Molecule: long non-coding RNA, 1445 nt
Organism: Aedes albopictus (Asian tiger mosquito)
Lineage: Eukaryota; Metazoa; Arthropoda; Insecta; Diptera; Culicidae
Exons: 3
Source: RefSeq, a predicted model, not a curated record
UCAAGAGCAAAUUUUCAAUACGUCCUAAGUAACAAAAUAAACAAAAAUGAGUUUUUUGCAUAUUCUAAUACCUACUGAACUGUUUAAUACUAUGUAGAAAGAACAUAAGUCAAAACUUGUUAAAAACUUUUGAAACUUAAAAAAAAUAAACUGACUUAAGUAACAAAUUGAGCAGUUUUCGUUUGUGUCGCUUUGUCGGUACAAUGACUUAUGUAACGCACGUAACUCAGCACUGACGUAACUGCGCUGUCAAAACGACGUAAGCAACAAAUUCAUGUAAACAGAAAUCGAAAGUGUUUACGGCAAAACACUUUUCUCCACUUCUAGAGGAAUUCUACAAGCUGGAUUUAAACUAGAAGAAUUAAACUACAAGGAAAGACUUUCCUCGGAGCCAUCGUCGACUUCAGCACAAUCAACGUCGUAUUAUCUCACCUCGAUUUCAAAUUCGUUACGCUUCUAUCUAUCUCAUUUAUCCGGCAUCAGCAACUCGAUCGAUCCGGUAACAGCAACGUUGGCAAGGAACAAAAAAGGGCUUCACAAAAGGCAGCAGCUCUUCUUCAAGUUCCUUAUCGCCGUCAUCAGCUAGAAAAGCAGCUUCAGUUGGAACGGUGAUUUUGGUGGACUGCCUGCACCAUCCGACAGAACUGUGCUGUCGAAACGGCCACCGAGCGGGCAUUUGUGAACCGAGAAUGUGAUUGAGCAUUCCAAAAGGAUGACGGUGUGGAGGAGUCAAACUUCUGUACAGCCACAGAUACCUAGCGCUUUGGCCAGCCCAUGUUCAAAGACAAAUGGCUCAGUUGUUCGGUUAAGGCCUGCGCAGUACGAUCCCGAUCGUGGUGUUUCUGGCACUUAGUACCUACCCUGGAAGUCAUUGCACCGGCAUAGAUGACACAUGAUUUGGCCGGCGAGGUAGAAAAUUUGAUUCGCUCGCACAGUACCGCAGCGCAUUCCAGAUCAUCAAAACGGUUCCGGAGCUGAUGGAAAUCGUUCUGAUUGCGUCCCGAUUCUGUCGAACGAGAUGAAUCACGGUAUUUUUAUCGCCGGCAGCACCAUCAUCACGGAAAAAAGAGCCAGGACAUAUUAAACCACUUCUAAAAUAUUGUUCCAAACUGAUCUGAAGUCGAGUCCUACGGGUCGGCAUUUUUAAUCUACUCCGAUGUUUUUACGAGACCAGGAAGCACAAUUACGUCAUUAAACUGCUUUGUGAGUCUGUUGGGCACACUAAACAAAGCCAGCAAGUGCAAGAUACAGCAGGUAUUAUCAGAGGCGUAGCGUGGUUUUACGAAGCUCUCCGCAAGCACUCAGAUUAGCGUCUCAUCUAGGGGCAAGACACUGUGCAAACAAGAGUAACUCUGAGAAAUUCUGAGUAACUCUUUUCACCAAUGAUCGACGAAAUUUGUUGAAAAACACCCCUAAAACUGCAAGAAAGGCGAGAUAUCGGGCAA